AGGCUGCCUCUUUAGGAUUGUGGGGGGCUGUGAGCUCUCCUUUUUAGGGGGAAUCCUAACCACAUUUAAGGGCUGGAAACUGUAGGGGAUGCAUCUCUACUUGGAGACUGCCUCCUUUGGAGUGUGAGGUCCCCUGACCAUAUUUAAGGGCUAGCAGCUAUAAGGGCAGCAUCUGUACCUGGUGACUCCUUCCUUUGGAGUGUGAGACUUGUCAGUGGUAAUGGAUCCCAGGGCAUCAUUCUCAGAGCGCAUCGUGACUGACCACCUUGGGGUCCUACAGUCCCUCCUGUUUGAACAGCAGAUCUGGCUUCGUCUUUAUAGAAAGCCAAGGAUUGUCCUCUUCUGGACCACUGCAGUCAGGGUCAUCCUGGAUAUCUCCAUCCCAAUUGUCUGUAGAUGCCAUUAGUUUCCUAAUCUGUAAGACACCCAAACCCCUACCCCUCUUCCUCUCAUCUGCUGACUCUCAUUCAGCAGCUCUGCAGCCCUGGCUCCCAACAGCAUGACAAAGUGAGGCCCCUAGUCUGCUGAAUACCGGGAGUAGCCUAGAGAGGCUCUGUGAUGGAUGUGGAUUAUCCCAGCUGGAGUACUUGGUACCAUUUGUAAAGACCUAGUCCAACUACCCCACGAUGAACAGGAAUGUCCACAGCUGAAUCAGGUUAGAGCCUGACCCAGCCUUGCCUUGAAAUGGACAGUGCAUCCACCAUGUGUCUGGGCAACCUGUUCCACUGCGUCACC
Long non-coding RNA from Lagopus leucura (white-tailed ptarmigan), 735 nucleotides. RefSeq lists it as uncharacterized. The transcript is spliced from 4 exons. The record is from RefSeq and is a predicted model, not a curated record. NCBI's taxonomy places the organism in Eukaryota, Metazoa, Chordata, Aves, Galliformes, Phasianidae.